This 489-nucleotide ribosomal RNA is filed under the name uncultured bacterium. RNAcentral describes it as "partial 16S ribosomal RNA". It matches the Rfam family "Bacterial small subunit ribosomal RNA", at positions 30 to 523 of the family's 1533-position model. The record is from RNAcentral.
AUUGAACGCUGGCGGCAUGCCUAACACAUGCAAGUCGAACGGGGGUAGCAAUACCCUAGUGGCGGACGGGUGAGGAAUACGUAGGAAUUUGCCGUUAAGUGGGGGAUAACCCGGGGAAACCCGGACUAAUACCGCAUGAUCUCGUGAGAGCAAAUCAGGGGACCGCAAGGCCUUGGGCUUUUGGAGAAGCCUACGUCGGAUUAGCUAGUGGGUGGGGUAAUGGCCCACCAAGGCUACGAUCCGUAACUGGGCUGGGAGGAUGAUCAGUCCAACCGGAACGGAGACACGGUCCGGCCUCCAACGGGAGGCAGCAGUGGGGAAUAUUGGACAAUGGGCGAAAGCCUGAUCCAGCAAUGCCGGGUGUGUGAAGAAGGCCUUCGGGUUGUAAAGCACUUUAGGCUGGAAAGAAAAAGCUUUGGCUAAUAUCCAAAGCCUUGACGGUACCAGCAGAAUAAGCACCGGCUAACUCUGUGCCAGCCGCCGCCGUAA